RNAcentral lists this ribosomal RNA (440 nucleotides) under uncultured bacterium. Its description in RNAcentral is "bacterial SSU rRNA". It matches the Rfam family "Bacterial small subunit ribosomal RNA", at positions 338 to 771 of the family's 1533-position model. The record is from RNAcentral.
CCUACGGGGGGCAGCAGUGGGGAAUCUUGCGCAAUGGGCGAAAGCCUGACGCAGCGACGCCGCGUGAGGGAAGAAGGCCUUCGGGUUGUAAACCUCUUUCAGGAGGGACGAAGCCACUCGGGUUAAUAGCCCAGAGGGUGACGGUACCUCCAGAAGAAGCCCCGGCUAACUACGUGCCAGCAGCCGCGGUAAUACGAAGGGGGCUAGCGUUGUUCGGAAUUACUGGGCGUAAAGGGCGCGUAGGCGGCCUGUUAAGUUGGAAGUGAAAGCCCCGGGCUCAACCUGGGAAUUGCUUUCGAUACUGGCAGGCUUGAGUUCCGGAGAGGAUGGUGGAAUUCCCAGUGUAGAGGUGAAAUUCGUAGAUAUUGGGAAGAACACCGGUGGCGAAGGCGGCCAUCUGGACGGACACUGACGCUGAGGCGCGAAAGCGUGGGGAGCAA